Molecule: ribosomal RNA, 256 nt
Filed under: uncultured bacterium
Lineage: Bacteria
Description: partial 16S ribosomal RNA
Rfam family: Bacterial small subunit ribosomal RNA
Source: RNAcentral
GACGGAGGAUGCAAGUGUUAUCCGGAAUCACUGGGCGUAAAGAGCUCGUAGGCGGUUUGUCGCGUCUGCUGUGAAAACUCGGGGCUUAACUCCGGGCCUGCAGUGGGUACGGGCAGACUAGAGUGCGGUAGGGGAGACUGGAAUUCCUGGUGUAGCGGUGAAAUGCGCAGAUAUCAGGGAGGAACACCGGUGGGCGAAGGCGGGUCUCUGGGCCGUAACUGACGCUGAGGAGCGAAAGCCGUGGGGAGCGAACAGG